GCAAUCUUUAAAAUAAUACAUCAUCCUACUAUUUAUCAUUACUAAUCCUAGAUAUGUGUUGUUAGGAUCAAUAGGCAGGCAACGUAUCAUAUGCAACUCAACUUCGUGUGCAACCUAUGCAACCACCAAUUAAGGUUACAUGAUCUAGAUUUUUUCACUUAAACCCCUCCACCUGUGGGUUUAAAUCUAACCCGUGUGUAUUUAGAUGGGAGGGUUUAAAUGAAAAAAACCAUCUAGAUCCUAUGACCUUAAUUGGUGGUUGCAUAAGUUGCACACGAAGCUGGGUUGCACAGGAUACAUUUCCCCCAAUAGGCAUAUGUACUCCUUACACAAGGAUCAAAAAAAUCAGGACAUCAUCAAAUUUUUGACUAAUUGUCUCACCAGAAUGCUUGACUAUACCAUGCAAAGCACUUAUGGACACACCAUGUGUCCACAAACUAGAAGAAAGAUACCAAGUGAUUCCAAAGAAAUCAUGUGAACAAAUGGUUCCUGACCAUAUGUACUCACUAACAAGUCAUGUAACUUGUGAAACAAUGGUGCACUCAUUCUGAACAUUUUAUGGCUUUCACAUAGGGUGUUGAGCCUCUCCAUAGUCCAAACAAAUCCAGAUUUGAGUCCUAGCGUCAUUUCAACAUAUGUCAUGUAGUACUUGGUUGCAACAAGUGAACUAGCAAAUACAUUAUUUUCUGGUCCGCAUCAAUUCCAUAGUAUUUGAAGUCCACUCAUAAUCAUCCAUAUCAGUACCAAAAUCAGAUCUGUGCACACCAAGCAAAACAAACAUGAACAUACAAAGCAAGGAGAAAUUUAAGACACAAAUAGUAUAAUAUCAAGUACUCCCUCCGUUCAAUUCCAAAUUACAAGACAUUUUAUUUUUUUCUAGAUACAUUUCUUUUACUGUAUAUUUUAGAUAUAGCGUAUAUCUAAGUAACACAUUUCGAGGAUCGUGGUUUUGUGUUUCUUGCGGUGGUAGUUUUGUUGUUGCCUCCUUCGCGUGGUUGUUGUUUUUUGUUUUUUUAAUUAUAAUUACUUCUUCUCUAUUAAUAUAUGCCCAGCAUAUUCAUUUUGGUGGUUCAUAAAAAAGCUAUGUAUCUAGAAAUACUAAAACAUCUUAUAAUUUAAAAUAGAGAGAGUACAAAAUAAUGAAACCGUACCAAAGCAAGGAUAAUUUCGAAACACAUAAAUAGUAUAGUUAAGUACCAAAAAGUGUCAGAUCUGUGCCGCAGAGAAUCUGUAGUCUUCUAGCUAUCCUUUUUCUAUGCGUGGAAUUGAAGCAGGCACGAGAAUGAGAUGCCAUGCCAUUUCUGUGGUGCGAGCGCCCAGUGGCUGGCCGAGGAAAGGACCAGGGUCGUCGGCACUUCCCCUCCCAAGAAGAGAGGGUGGACCAGCUACGUCGAGAAGGACACCGCCGGCCAGACAAACAUGGCAACAUCUACUCCCUCGAGGUAAUUCGAUCGCGCUCUUCUUACAUUCAAACGCUCUAGCCACCGGUGGGCAGUGGUGUAGAAUUACGUUGCUUUUAUUUGUCCUCUAAAACUAGAACCUCAAUCUUUACAUUACUCCACGCCUGGAAUUUGCACAGCCGACAGUGUAGGUGGCCGAGAGCGCCAUCAGCUUCGGCGUGGCUGGCACGUCGACGGAGGGUGCCGAGAACACGGCCACCAUCGCUGCGGGGCUUGUUCUCACAAGAGCAUCUCCAACAAAAUUUGUUUCCCAAAUCUUAUUGUUUGUCAACCCCAAAAUAAUAUGGAGAAAGAAAAAAGAUCUAUUUCUAAUAGUUUGGCAAAUUUCGUUUUCAAAAACCUAAAAACCCGCUAAUAAACGAAGAGCCCCGCUAAGCAUGAGGAGAAAGACAGAUGCCAAGUACAGAGUCUGCGCGCAUAUUUAUGCGCUAGACAGAAAGAUAUGACAAGUUAGAAAAGAUGGAGAAUUAAUAUGCCAAACUGUUAGAGAAGAUUUUUCCUUAUUUUGCUAAAAAAGUUAUGGAUGGAAAAGUUAUGGAUGAAAAGUCAUUUACCAAACUGUUGAAGAUGCUCUAGACCCCGUCGCCGCGGCCUCGUCCUUCCUCAUCCAGGUGAACAAGAACCAGUCGUACGUGCCGGGGCCAGCGCAGACCCUCGAGGCCCCUGCCCUCGCAGAGGCAGUAGAGGCACAGGAU
RNAcentral lists this long non-coding RNA (2155 nucleotides) under Sorghum bicolor (sorghum). Its description in RNAcentral is "long non-coding RNA (SBIC_LNC002549)". The record is from RNAcentral. Lineage: Eukaryota; Viridiplantae; Streptophyta; Magnoliopsida; Poales; Poaceae.